Molecule: ribosomal RNA, 250 nt
Filed under: uncultured bacterium
Lineage: Bacteria
Description: partial 16S ribosomal RNA
Rfam family: Bacterial small subunit ribosomal RNA
Source: RNAcentral
UACGUAGGUCGCAAGCGUUAUCCGGAUUUACUGGGCGUAAAGCGUCCGUAGCUGGUUUGGUAAGUUCGUUUUUAAAUAUCCUAGCUCAACUAGGAAAAGGGAACGAAUACUGCCAUUCUAGAGUGUGAUAGGGGAUAGUAGAAUUUCCGGUGGAGGGGUGAAAUCCGUUGAUAUCGGAAGGAAUACCAAAAGCGAAGGCAGCUAUCUAUAUCACCACUGACGGUCAGGGACGAAAGUCUGGGUAGCGAAC